RNAcentral lists this ribosomal RNA (375 nucleotides) under uncultured bacterium. RNAcentral's name for it is "bacterial SSU rRNA". It matches the Rfam family "Bacterial small subunit ribosomal RNA", at positions 524 to 898 of the family's 1533-position model. The record is from RNAcentral.
UACGAAGGGUGCGAGCGUUAAUCGGAAUUACUGGGCGUAAAGCGCGCGUAGGUGGUUUGAUAAGCGAUAUGUGAAAGCCCUGGGCUCAACCUAGGAACUGCAUGUCGAACUGUCAGGCUAGAGUAUGGUAGAGGGGUGUGGAAUUUCCUGUGUAGCGGUGAAAUGCGUAGAUAUAGGAAGGAACAUCAGUGGCGAAGGCGACACCCUGGACCGAUACUGACACUGAGGCGCGAAAGCGUGGGUAGCGAACAGGAUUAGAUACCCUGGUAGUCCACGCCGUAAACGAUGUCAACUAGCCGUUGGGGGGCUUGUCCCUUCAGUGGCGGAGCUAACGCGAUAAGUUGACCGCCUGGGGAGUACGGCCGCAAGGUUAAA